UUGUUGCAGUUAAAAAGCUCGUAGUCGGAUGUCGGGCUCGGGCAGGCUGUCGGCUUCGGUCGGACGGCAGGCUCGGGUCUUUCUGCCUGAGGAUCCCGUUGCACUUAAUUGUGGGGCGUGGGGACGCAGGCCGUUUACUUUGAAAAAAUUAGAGUGUUCAAAGCAGGCCUACGCUUGAAUACAUUAGCAUGGAAUAAUGGAAUAGGACUUUGGUGCUAUUUUGUUGGUUUAUGGGACCGAAGUAAUGAUUAACAGGGACAGUUGGGGCCGUUUAUAUUUCGUUGUCAGAGGUGAAAUUCUUGGAUUUACGAAAGAUAAACUUCUGCGAAAGCAUUCGGCAAGGAUGUUUUCAUUGAUCAAGAACGAAAGUUAGGGGAUCGAAGACGAUCAGAUACCGUCGUAGUCUUAACCAUAAACUAUGCCGACUAGGGAUCAGUGGAUGUCAAUUUGCGACUCCAUUGGCACCUUGUGAGAAAUCAAAGUUUU
Molecule: ribosomal RNA, 486 nt
Filed under: uncultured Cryptophyta
Lineage: Eukaryota; Cryptophyceae
Description: SSU rRNA
Rfam family: Eukaryotic small subunit ribosomal RNA
Source: RNAcentral